CCUACGGGACGCACCAGUGGGGAAUAUUGCACAAUGGGCGCAAGCCUGAUGCAGCCAUGCCGCGUGUAUGAAGAAGGCCUUCGGGUUGUAAAGUACUUCCAGCGGGGAGGAAGGUGUUGUGGUUAAUAACCACAGCAAUUGACGUUACCCGCAGAAGAAGCACCGGCUAACUCCGUGCCAGCAGCCGCGGUAAUACGGAGGGUGCAAGCGUUAAUCGGAAUUACUGGGCGUAAAGCGCACGCAGGCGGUUGAUUAAGUUAGAUGUGAAAUCCCCGGGCUUAACCUGGGAAUGGCAUCUAAGACUGGUCAGCUAAAGUCUUGUAGAGGGGGGUAGAAUUCCAAGUGUAGCGGUGAAAUGCGUAGAGAUGUGGAGGAAUACCGGUGGCGAAGGCGGCCCCCUGGACAAAGACUGACGCUCAGGUGCGAAAGCGUGGGGAGCUAACAGGAUUAGAUACCCGCGUAGUC
This 465-nucleotide ribosomal RNA is filed under the name uncultured bacterium. RNAcentral describes it as "bacterial SSU rRNA". It matches the Rfam family "Bacterial small subunit ribosomal RNA", at positions 338 to 795 of the family's 1533-position model. The record is from RNAcentral.